RNAcentral lists this long non-coding RNA (760 nucleotides) under Malus domestica (apple). RNAcentral's name for it is "long non-coding RNA (MDOM_LNC020699)". The record is from RNAcentral. Lineage: Eukaryota; Viridiplantae; Streptophyta; Magnoliopsida; Rosales; Rosaceae.
CAGGAUCAGAACCGUGGCAACUGUCAAGUGAGUCCUUAAGUAUUUAAGAAAUACUUAAGGAUAGAUUCCUCAAAAAAAAAAAUGAGGAAGAAUUAGAGUAACGUAAUGGAAGCGUAAAUGUAUUAGAUUAUGAAUCUGAUACAUCAUUGGAUGUUUCUUCAUUAUGAAUGAAGAGAUAAACAAAUAUCUCUUUAUUAUGACUAAAGAGAUAUUUGGAUGGAAACAUUAAAGUAAUGACUUUAGUGUGUUCCAUUAUGAAUGCAAGAUAUAUUGCCAUAUAGAAGUUUACAAAAAUGUUGUUUGGAUGGGAAAGUUCAUUUAUGAACUCUCUAUUCGAUUCCAACCAGAAAGUGUAUGACACUAAUGGGGCGAUAGCUCAAGCCUGGGAAUCAAGGUCUCAUCAAGAUCCGAACACAAAUGAGAGACUGAACCACAUGAUUGAGAAUCAUGUAUAAUGGUGACGUCGUUAUUCUCAAGGUUGCUUCUGUGGAUAACACAUAUAGAUAUCCAUUGUCUAGGCCUACUACUCAGCCAUUUAUGAAAUGACGACAGAAGAGGUAUCAUCACUGAUGACCAAUGCUGAUUGGCUCUAGUGCAAGUGGGAGAUUGUUGGAAAUGUGCCCUAAAACCAAUCAUAUGAUGAUACUUUACGGACAUUUCAAAUGUUAAACUAAUCUAGUUUAACAAAUAAAGGGCAAAGAUUAUUGUUUGAGCCGUCUCAUAUAAAUGUUAUAUGCUUAAACGAUAAAGUCCAAGGAAU